Felis catus (domestic cat) is the source of this 1175-nucleotide long non-coding RNA. RefSeq lists it as uncharacterized. The transcript is spliced from 3 exons. NCBI's taxonomy places the organism in Eukaryota, Metazoa, Chordata, Mammalia, Carnivora, Felidae. The record is from RefSeq and is a predicted model, not a curated record.
GCGGAGGCGGGGCAUGGACCGGGGGCCGAAGCGGAGCCGUCGCCUUGGGGUCGCGGGGUCUCCAAGGCACCGCCCCACAUCCGCGGACACUGGCUGGACCACCCCCUACCGCCCAGCCGUGGGGACUGCGCUGUCCCCAGGCCUACCGGGCCCACAAGUGGGUGCAGUGUUGACAUUUGGGAAAGCUGGUUGGAGGCGAUACAGAGACCGUGUGCUGUUCUUGAAACCCUUUCUACGUCUGGAGUUACGUCAAAAUAGAGGAAAAUGGUUAAUAGACUCCCGAAAAUUAGAGACCUGAUUUCAGGUGUAGAGAUUUAUUGGCAACUGGGGGCAAAAGCCACACCCCGACGCUGAGUGUCCCGCUGCUCAUGAAUCUAAAGCCGAUGCAGGCGGGUCAGGUCCAAGGAUCCAGAGGGGGUCCUGCGGGACCAGGCACGAGUGUCCCCAGCCCUCUGCAGGAUAGAAAUUGAAUGUGAGCCAGCAGGAGCUAUAAAAAGGCCUCGCAUGGGGGCACCCGGGUGGCUCAGGCUUGUGAGCUCAAGCCCCACGUCAGACUCCAAGAAGACUGCGGAGCCUGCUGCUGAUUUUCUCUCUCCCUCUCUCUCUGCCCCUCCCCCACCUGCACUCGCUUUCUCGCAAAAUAAAGAGACAAUAAAUGAAUAAAUAAAUAAAUAAAUAAAUAAAUAAACGCCUUGCAUGGCUUUCUGGAAGGUCAGAUAGAAACCCGGUGCCAUGCGGGGACUUGGGGACCCAGCUUCUAGACUGCAGAUCACUCCCAAGUGUCUAGCCCCGACCUGCCCGAUGCUUGGCCCUCCUAGCAAGGGCAUGGCUCCCACGGGACUUUCCUUCCCACCCAUGAGACGUAUCCCACUGUCAGUUCCUCAGAGGAGCUCUUGUGUCUAGGGUUAGCCCUCCUGCUGCUGGUGGGUGGUGGGAUACUCACAUGUUGCGCGUGGGUGUCUGGUUAGGGACCCUUGAAAGCUAACCAUUCUCGGGCAAGGUGAGGCUGUUGUUCAUUCCCAGGGCCCCUCAAAUGUGAGUCCAGGGUGACCGCGCGGAGCCUGACACGGGGCUCGGUCGCACGAACCGUGAGAUCAUGACCGAGCCAAUAUCAACAGUCAGACGCUUAACUGACUGUGCCCCCCAGGUGCCCUUAUUUUUAACUUUUUGGGGAG